GCAGAAUGCUGCAGACACUCUGGGCCCCUUUGUCUGCGUGGAACGGAUCUCUAGUCACAGUUAAAAGAAAACAGCAACAACAAGAAGAGAACAACAAUCACAAGGAACCAUGUCAUCCGUGGCAUCUUUAGGAGGAUGUGCAGCACUCUGAACAUGGUUCCAAGGACUUUAGUAGAUGUCUAUUGCGUUGUCAGCCUGACAGGAUCCAAACCUGAGGUCUCUGUCAUCAUUGCUCCAUGACACAUACACCCUUGGCAAGCAAUUAGAUGUCUAUGUUCCUUGAGGUUGAAGGAGAAAUGGACAAGAUCCAAGGCCAUAUUUUGGGGGAAGGAAAAGACUGAACCUCACUCAGCCUCACCCAGGUUAGUUCUCUUGGCUACUUCAAAAAACAAGGAGUGUGAGAGGAAUCCUGGGAACAUAGGAGUUAUGAGAACCUCUUCUCAGAAUGGUAAGUUCC
RNAcentral lists this long non-coding RNA (457 nucleotides) under Mus musculus (house mouse). Its description in RNAcentral is "predicted gene 29209". The record is from RNAcentral. Lineage: Eukaryota; Metazoa; Chordata; Mammalia; Rodentia; Muridae.